GGGAAUUGUUCGCAAUGGGCGCAAGCCUGACGACGCAACGCCGCGUGGAGGAUGAAGAUUUUCGGAUCGUAAACCCCUGUCGAAUGGGACGAAUAGAUUGUGGGUUAACAGCCCGUGAUCCUGACGGUACCGUUAAAGGAAACCCCGGCUAACUCCGUGCCAGCAGCCGCGGUAAUACGGGGGGGGUAAGCGUUGUUCGGAAUUACUGGGCGUAAAGGGCGCGUAGGCGGCCACCGCAAGUCGACUGUGAAAUCUCCGGGCUUAACCCGGAAAGGUCAGCCGAUACUGCGGGGCUAGAGUGCAGAAGGGGCAACUGGAAUUCUCGGUGUAGCGGUGAAAUGCGUAGAUAUCGAGAGGAACACCUGCGGCGAAGGCGGGUUGCUGGGCUGACACUGACGCUGAGGCGCGAAAGCUAGGGGAGCGAA
This 425-nucleotide ribosomal RNA is filed under the name uncultured bacterium. RNAcentral describes it as "bacterial SSU rRNA". It matches the Rfam family "Bacterial small subunit ribosomal RNA", at positions 357 to 772 of the family's 1533-position model. The record is from RNAcentral.